AACUCCUACGGGGGCAGCAGUGGGGAAUAUUGCACAAUGGGGGAAACCCUGAUGCAGCGAUGCCGCGUGGAGGAAGAAGGUUUUCGGAUUGUAAACUCCUUUUAUCAGGGACGAUAAUGACGGUACCUGAAGAAAAAGCUCCGGCUAACUACGUGCCAGCAGCCGCGGUAAUACGUAGGGAGCGAGCGUUGUCCGGAAUUACUGGGUGUAAAGGGAGCGUAGGCGGGACGGCAAGUCAGAUGUGAAAACUAUGGGCUUAACCCAUAGCCUGCUUUUGAAACUGUUUUUCUUGAGUGAAGUAGAGG
RNAcentral lists this ribosomal RNA (305 nucleotides) under uncultured bacterium. RNAcentral describes it as "bacterial SSU rRNA". It matches the Rfam family "Bacterial small subunit ribosomal RNA", at positions 334 to 657 of the family's 1533-position model. The record is from RNAcentral.